ACCUCUGCUAUGCUGCCCUUGGUGGAGCUGUGCUUACUCCAGGAGCAGAGGACACUUCUGUUUGCUGUUCCAGAGUUCCUAGUUCAGGAACGGAUGCUGAGCUAAAGCUGAUGUCGAUAGACUACUGAUUGCCUGUUCAUAAACCAUGGAGAAGCUGUGGUGUUCAUCUUUAGAGAUUCGUGGGGUCUUCUCCUGGUGGUUUUCCAGUGCCUUGCUACCCUAAGCCAUCAGGAAGAACUAGAUGAGGAUUUAAACACGGAGAAGCCAAGAAAACUGUUUAAAGUCAACAGCUGACAAGGGAUGGUGUGAAAACUAAGCCCAGAUUGUGUGUAUCAUAACCAGGAACACUGCCUUGUAAAAUUAUUGUGAGAUAAAUAAAAUGUAGUGUGUGU
Peromyscus maniculatus bairdii (prairie deer mouse) is the source of this 392-nucleotide long non-coding RNA. RefSeq lists it as uncharacterized. Lineage: Eukaryota; Metazoa; Chordata; Mammalia; Rodentia; Cricetidae. The record is from RefSeq and is a predicted model, not a curated record.